Molecule: ribosomal RNA, 393 nt
Filed under: uncultured bacterium
Lineage: Bacteria
Description: bacterial SSU rRNA
Rfam family: Bacterial small subunit ribosomal RNA
Source: RNAcentral
GAUGAACGCUAGCGGCGGGCCUAACACAUGCAAGUCGAACGGUAACAUGAGUAGCAAUACUUGAUGACGAGUGGCGCACGGGUGCGUAACGCGUAUGCAACUUACCUCUAACUGGAGAAUAGCCUUCCGAAAGGAAGAAUAAUACUCCAUAAUAUUACGAUGUGGCAUCACAUUGUUCUUAAAGCUUCGGCGGUUAGAGAUGGGCAUGCGUCUGAUUAGCUUGUUGGUGAGGUAACGGCUCACCAAGGCAACGAUCAGUAGGGGGCCUGAGAGGGUUAUCCCCCACACUGGUACUGAGACACGGACCAGACUCCUACGGGAGGCAGCAGUGGGGAAUAUUGGACAAUGGGGGCAACCCUGAUCCAGCCAUGCCGCGUGUGUGAAGAAGGCCUU